RNAcentral lists this ribosomal RNA (440 nucleotides) under uncultured bacterium. Its description in RNAcentral is "partial 16S ribosomal RNA". It matches the Rfam family "Bacterial small subunit ribosomal RNA", at positions 338 to 795 of the family's 1533-position model. The record is from RNAcentral.
CCUAGGGGAGGCAGCAGUGGGGGAUAUUGCACAAUGGGGGGAACCCUGAUGCAGCGACGCCGCGUGGGUGAAGAAGCGCCUCGGCGCGUAAAACCCUGUCAGCCGGGGAGAAAAUGCAGGUACCUGAAGACGAAGCCCCGGCUAACUACGUCACAGCAGCCGCGGUACUACGUAGGGGGCAAGCGUGAUCCGGAUUUACUGGGUGUAAAGGGGACGCAGACGGCGAUGCAAGCCAGGAGUGAAAGCCCGGGGCCUAACCCCGGGACUGCUCUUGAAACUGCGUGGCUGGAGUGCAGGAGGGGCAGGCGGAAUUCCUGGUGUAGCGGUGAAAUGCGUAGAUAUCAGGAGGAACACCGGUGGCGAAGGCGGCCUGCUGGACUGCAACUGACGUUGAGGCCCGAAAGCGUGGGGAGCAAACAGGAUUAGAUACCCUUGUAGUC